CCUACGGGUGGCAGCAGUGGGGAAUAUUGGUCAAUGGGCGCAAGCCUGACCCAGCCACGUCGCGUGAAGGAUGACGGCUCUCGGGUUUUAAACUUCUUUUUAUAGGGAAGUGCAGUAGACGAUACCUCUUUACUUAUCCACGGCUAACUACGUGCCAGCAGCCGCGGUAAUCCGUAGGUGGCAAGCGAUGUGCGGAUUUACUGGGUUUAAAGGGAGUGCAGGCGGGAAGGCAAGUCAGAUGUGAAAUCCCGCGGAUCAAACGUGGAACUGCAUUUGAUACUGGUUUUCGUGAGUACAGGAGAGGUGAUCGGAAUUCAUGGUGUAGCGGUGAAAUGCGUAGAUAUAAGGAAGAACACCAGUGGCGAAGGCGGAUGACUGGACUGCAACUGACGGUGAGGCGCGAAAGUGUGGGGAGCAAACAGGAUUAGAUACCCUUGUAGUC
RNAcentral lists this ribosomal RNA (442 nucleotides) under uncultured bacterium. RNAcentral's name for it is "partial 16S ribosomal RNA". It matches the Rfam family "Bacterial small subunit ribosomal RNA", at positions 338 to 795 of the family's 1533-position model. The record is from RNAcentral.